RNAcentral lists this ribosomal RNA (497 nucleotides) under uncultured bacterium. RNAcentral describes it as "partial 16S ribosomal RNA". It matches the Rfam family "Bacterial small subunit ribosomal RNA", at positions 28 to 507 of the family's 1533-position model. The record is from RNAcentral.
GAUGAACGCUGGCGGCGUGCCUAAUACAUGCAAGUCGAGCGAACAGACGAGGAGCUUGCUCCUUUGACGUUAGCGGCGGACGGGUGAGUAACACGUGGGUAACCUACCUAUAAGACUGGGAUAACUUCGGGAAACCGGAGCUAAUACCGGAUAAUAUUUCGAACCGCAUGGUUCGAUAGUGAAAGAUGGCUUUUCUAUCACUUAUAGAUGGUCAUGCGCCGUAUUAGCUAGUUGGUAAGGUAACGGCUUAUCAAGGCAACGAUACGUAUCCGACCUGAGGGGGUGAUCGGCCACACUGGAACGGAGACACGGUCCAUACUCCGACGGGAGGCAGCAGUAGGGAAUCUUCCGCAAUGGGCGAAAGCCUGACGUAGCAACGCCGCGUGAGUGAUGAAGGUCUUCGGAUCGUAAAACUCUGUUAUUAGGGAAGAACAAACGUGUAAGUAACUGUGCACGUCUUGACGGUACCUAAUCAGAAAGCCACGGCUAACUACGUG